UUUUUUUUUUUUUUUUCCGAACUCCUUAGUCCUUUAAUUUUCUUCAGUUUUUACAAUCUUGCUUUUCUUCGAACACAAUAUCGCUACUGUUGUUAGCAAUACGUGAUUAGUGAAUCUGACAAUCUGUUUUUUUUUACUAUCUAAGCUCGAAUUUUUUUUCUGUCAAAUCUAAAUUUUGGCCCCACCCCACCAAACCUUAAUUUCUGGCCUCGACGUCAUUUUUUUACAACAAUCUUAUCAUAUUCUCUUCUUCUUCUUUUUUUAAUAUAUUAAAAGCUCAAAAGGGUUGUCUAGAUGACCGACCGUCCCUAGAGUAAGUGGUAAAUGGCUUGGUACGUGGUUGGUAUUCGAGAUCUAAGUUCGAAUCCUAAUUGAUUCACAUUUCCAGCUAAGUUUAUUUCUAAAUAAAAUAAACGAAACGGAUAGCGUGCUACCUAUUUAUGAGCAAUACUACCGGACUUGUACACCUAUAAUGCAGGUAUAAAAUCUGCACCCGAGACUCUUUAUAAUUCAAAAUUGCUUACUUGUCUUAUCUUACCAACUUUUUAAAAUACAGAAUUCAAAAGAAAAUUCUCUUCGAUAAUAAUUUGUAUAAAAUAUACAUUCUAUAAUAGAGUACGUACACAUAAUAGAGAUGUCAACAGAUCAGAUUUGGGAUGAAUUUUUUAAAAAUCCGAACCAGAACCUGACUACUGAACCCGUUCAACCCGACCAAAAAUCCGAACCUGCAAACCCGAAUCCGAAACAAUUAUUUCUCUUUACAAAAUUUCAAAAUAUUUUACAUUAAAUUUAAAAUUUUAAAAUACAAACUCAACUAUAAUAUCAACUAUAUAGAGUAGGGCUCCUGUGCUCUCAGGAGCACGGAGGCCUCUGUGCUCCUGAGCCGUUUUCGAUGAUGGAAUUUUCGAAUCGACGAUCGGCUCCGUUAGACUUGAUCUAACGUAUUUGAAGUUUCUAGAAAAUAAUUUUUGCGAUUUUUCGAUAUCAUUUACCUAGCAAUCGAAAGAAUUUAAAAUCAAUAAUUUUUAACGGAUGAAAAUAAAAAUCCUAUAAAAAGUGGUGAUUUAGCACUAAAAUUUUCGAUCAUAAAUAUUGAUCUUGUUGUAAAUAGUAUAAAAAAUUUUGUAUCAAAAUUUCAUCUGAUUUGAAUACUUCUACACCAUUAAACUUGAAAACGACAGAUAUCAACCAUUAAAAAUUAUUAAUUUUGAAUCCUUUCGAUCACUAGAUAAAUGAUAUCAAAAAAUCGCAACAAUUAUUUUCUAGAAACUUCAAAUAACCUAGAUCAAGUCUAACGGAGCCGAUCGUCGACUCGAAAAUUCCAUUAUCGAAAACGGCUCAGGAGCACGGAGGCCUCCGUGCUCCUGAGAGCACAGCAGCCCUGCUCUAUAUAGAGCAUGGAGGCCUCCGGGCUACUAUACUCUUAUGAGUAUUGGGCCCUUAGUACUCAAAAGUUGUUUUCGAUGAUAGAGCUUCCGAAUCGACGAUCCACUCCGUUAAAUAUGAUUUAGAGUAUUUGAAACUUCUAGAAAAUAAAUUUCGUAAUUUUUCGAAAUCAUAAUAAAGUCCAUCGAUCAAGCGGGCAUAAAAUGAACGGUCAAAAUCGAAUGACGUCCUAAAAAUGAAUGAUCGGAUCUUUCAAUUUAAAAUCGGAGUUAUUGAUUCUUAUCUAGGUAGUGAAUAGAAUUUUCUAUCAAAAAUUCAAUCUAUUCCAAUUCUUUUCCACUGUUAAACUAGCAAGUAUCCCAUACCGGCCGUUAAAAAUUGUUAAUUUUGUGAGCUUUUGAUCGUAAGGUAAAUGAUGUCGAAAAGUUAUGAAAUUUGAUUUCUAGAAGUUUUAAAUGCGCUAGAUAAUGUUUAACGAUGUGGAUCGUCGAUUCGGAAACUCUAUCAUCAAAAAAAACUUAUGAGUACGAGGACGAUCGUACUCAUAAGAGUAUAGUAGCCGGACUCUAUAUAUAUAUAUUAAUGUAAAAGCAAUUCGAGUUCGGAUCAGGUACAACCAAAAUUCAUAUCUGAAUUUAAAUUUAUCGGAUUUCGUUUUCGAUAUUUAUAUCCGAAACUAUAUCCGUUUAGCAUGGAAUAUAUCAUAUAUCCGAUC
Molecule: long non-coding RNA, 2101 nt
Filed under: Ananas comosus (pineapple)
Lineage: Eukaryota; Viridiplantae; Streptophyta; Magnoliopsida; Poales; Bromeliaceae
Description: long non-coding RNA (ACOM_LNC021792)
Source: RNAcentral